GGCCCGUUGGUCAAGUGGUUAAGCCACCGCCCUUUCACGGCGGUAACACCGGUUCGAAUCCCGUACGGGUCACCU
RNAcentral lists this transfer RNA (75 nucleotides) under Bacillus thuringiensis serovar kurstaki str. HD-1. Its description in RNAcentral is "tRNA-Glu". It matches the Rfam family "tRNA". From Rfam's summary of the family: Transfer RNA (tRNA) molecules are approximately 80 nucleotides in length. Their secondary structure includes four short double-helical elements and three loops (D, anti-codon, and T loops). The record is from RNAcentral. Lineage: Bacteria; Bacillati; Bacillota; Bacilli; Caryophanales; Bacillaceae.